UACGUAGGGUGCAAGCGUUGUCCGGAAUUAUUGGGCGUAAAGAGCUCGUAGGCGGUCUGUCGCGUCGAAUGUGAAAACCCGGGGCUCAACCCCGGGCCUGCAUUCGAUACGGGCAGACUAGAGUUCGGUAGGGGAGUCUGGAAUUCCUGGUGUAGCGGUGAAAUGUGCAGAUAUCGGGAGGAACACCUGUGGCGAAAGCGGCGCACUGGACCAUAACUGACGCUGAGGGGCGAAAGCGUGGGGAGCGAACAGG
RNAcentral lists this ribosomal RNA (253 nucleotides) under uncultured bacterium. Its description in RNAcentral is "partial 16S ribosomal RNA". It matches the Rfam family "Bacterial small subunit ribosomal RNA", at positions 524 to 776 of the family's 1533-position model. The record is from RNAcentral.